AUGGGCCUCUGCUCAGCACGCGCAUGUAGGCGCGGUCCGGAUGAUCCGGGCGGGGAGCGGGAUGAUCCAUGUCAGGGUCCGGAUGAUCCGGGUGACGGCCUGCCGGAGACCCUGCACCAUGAGAUUGCCACGGUUCAGGGACGCUUCUUCUUGGCUGGCGAGGGCGAUAAGCAGAAAUACCACAUGGUUCGGUGACUGGAGAUCUGUAAACCUCGUGAUCAGGGCGGACUCAGGAUCAUGUCCUCCAAACACAUGAAUAUUGCUCUCCUGACUAGGUGGCUUUGGCGGAUUGCGAACGGCGAGGGUGGCUUGUGGCUCCACAUCAUCCAGCAGAAAUACCUCCGUGGCCAGCCACUAGCCUUCUACCAGCGGGCCUGUGGCUCCUAG
This 387-nucleotide ribosomal RNA is filed under the name Triticum aestivum (bread wheat). Its description in RNAcentral is "partial small subunit ribosomal RNA". The record is from RNAcentral. Lineage: Eukaryota; Viridiplantae; Streptophyta; Magnoliopsida; Poales; Poaceae.